GGGAAAGGUCGUCUAGGAGCCAGGACCUUGGUUUGUGAGACCAAAGACAUGGGUGCAAGUCCCAUCCUUCCCCU
RNAcentral lists this transfer RNA (74 nucleotides) under Candidatus Melainabacteria bacterium. Its description in RNAcentral is "tRNA-His". It matches the Rfam family "tRNA". From Rfam's summary of the family: Transfer RNA (tRNA) molecules are approximately 80 nucleotides in length. Their secondary structure includes four short double-helical elements and three loops (D, anti-codon, and T loops). Lineage: Bacteria; Bacillati; Candidatus Melainabacteria. The record is from RNAcentral.